CUCUCCCCCGUGACCUCUUCGACCCAAACCUCAAGCGAAAAUUCCCUAGCUCGCUAGACCGGCGCAGGACUGUGACUGCGCGCCUCCUUUUACCUGAGAGGGACCGCCGGGCCCCCGGGCGCAGCCGCCAAAGGCGGGGAGCCGCCGCCGCCCCGGCGCAACUCAUUGCCGGAACUAAAAAAAGCAACCACUUCGUUGAACGGAACUGGCCAAUAGUGCCCUUGGCUCGGACUGAUGACGCACAGCAGACGUAAGGAAGGCUCAGCUCGCCCGCGCACCGGUGGGAACGCCCCCUAGCUCUGCGCUAGGGGUUAGAUUGGUUAGAUACGACAAAUAAAAAGAUUUUAUUGGGUGGGGUCACUGUCAAUCACUCGGAAGACCAAGGCCAAGGCGCCUUGGGUUGCCAGGGAGAUGAAAAUGCUAAAUUGCUGUUUAGAAAGAUCAGGACAAGGUUAUGAUUUCUCACCCAAGUUCCUGGGGAAAAGGAUCAUGAGGGAAUUACUUAUUAACAAGGCACGGUAUUUCCUGCUUUACCUACGUGGAAGGAGAUUUUUUUUUUUAUUUGUAUCCUACAUCUACUUUAAAAUAGUAAGCCUGGGCAACAUAGCGAGACCCCGCCUCUACAAAUAAUUUUAAAAAUUAGCCGGGUCUGGUGGAGCACACCUGUAGUCCCAGCUACUCGGGAGGCUGAGGUGGGGGGAUAGCUUGAGCCCGGUAGCUCGAGG
RNAcentral lists this long non-coding RNA (725 nucleotides) under Homo sapiens (human). RNAcentral's name for it is "non-protein coding lnc-SMG1-5:6". The record is from RNAcentral. Lineage: Eukaryota; Metazoa; Chordata; Mammalia; Primates; Hominidae.